Molecule: ribosomal RNA, 437 nt
Filed under: uncultured bacterium
Lineage: Bacteria
Description: partial 16S ribosomal RNA
Rfam family: Bacterial small subunit ribosomal RNA
Source: RNAcentral
AGCGAACGCUGGCGGCAGGCUUAACACAUGCAAGUCGAGCGGGCAUCCUUGUGGGGUCAGCGGCAGACGGGUGAGUAACGCGUGGGAACGUGCCCUUCGGUUCGGAAUAACUCAGGGAAACUUGAGCUAAUACCGGAUACGUGCGAGAGCAGAAAGGUUUAUCUGCCGAAGGAUCGGCCCGCGUCUGAUUAGCUAGUUGGUGAGGUUACGGCUCACCAAGGCGACGAUCAGUAGCUGGUCUGAGAGGAUGAUCAGCCACACUGGGACUGAGACACGGCCCAGACUCCUACGGGAGGCAGCAGUGGGGAAUAUUGGACAAUGGGGGCAACCCUGAUCCAGCCAUGCCGCGUGAGUGAUGACGGCCUUAGGGUUGUAAAGCUCUUUUCUCCGGGACGAUAAUGACGGUACCGGAGGAAUAAGCCCCGGCUAACUUCGUG